RNAcentral lists this ribosomal RNA (253 nucleotides) under uncultured bacterium. Its description in RNAcentral is "partial 16S ribosomal RNA". It matches the Rfam family "Bacterial small subunit ribosomal RNA", at positions 524 to 776 of the family's 1533-position model. The record is from RNAcentral.
UACGGAGGGUGCAAGCGUUAUCCGGAUUCACUGGGUUUAAAGGGUGCGUAGGUGGGCAGGUAAGUCAGUGGUGAAAUCUCCGGGCUUAACUCGGAAACUGCCAUUGAUACUAUCUUUCUUGAAUACCGUGGAGGUCAGCGGAAUAUGUCAUGUAGCGGUGAAAUGCUUAGAUAUGACAUAGAACACCAAUUGCGAAGGCAGCUGGCUACACGAAUAUUGACACUGAUGCACGAAAGCGUGGGGAUCAAACCGG